This 69-nucleotide microRNA precursor is filed under the name Procavia capensis (Cape rock hyrax). Its description in RNAcentral is "miRNA (ENSPCAG00000019192.1)". The record is from RNAcentral. Lineage: Eukaryota; Metazoa; Chordata; Mammalia; Hyracoidea; Procaviidae.
UGUGUGUAUGUAUGUGUGUAUGUGCAUGUGCUUGCACACACAGGUAAAUAUAUAUGUAUAUACACAUGU